AUAUUAUAAAUCCAUAUUCAUUAACAAUAAACCAAACCAUAACUGUUUCUCUUUUCACCAGCCUACUAGUAUCCAUGGGGGUUCAUAGGGAUGUUCCCGCUAUACGUAAACCCUUUCCUUUAACAAUCUCAAUUACAAGGCCGUCCCCAUACCCCGUCCGAUGUGAAUGCCAAAACAUUAAACCUCAAUACCACGUCCGGUAUGAGGGUAAAGCGGGCCAUCCUCAUACUCCGUCCGGUAUGAGACAGCAUUCACGGUAGGGUUCCCUAUAUAUUCGGUUUGUCCACCA
This 289-nucleotide long non-coding RNA is filed under the name Carica papaya (papaya). RNAcentral's name for it is "long non-coding RNA (CPAP_LNC007409)". Lineage: Eukaryota; Viridiplantae; Streptophyta; Magnoliopsida; Brassicales; Caricaceae. The record is from RNAcentral.